AUUGAACGCUGGCGGCAGGCCUAACACAUGCAAGUCGAGCGGAUGAAGGGAGCUUGCUCCUGGAUUCAGCGGCGGACGGGUGAGUAAUGCCUAGGAAUCUGCCUGGUAGUGGGGGAUAACGUCCGGAAACGGGCGCUAAUUCCGCAUACGUCCUGAGGGAGAAAGUGGGGGAUCUUCGGACCUCACGCUAUCAGAUGAGCCUAGGUCGGAUUAGCUAGUUGGUGGGGUAAAGGCCUACCAAGGCGACGAUCCGUAACUGGUCUGAGAGGAUGAUCAGUCACACUGGCACUGAGACACGGUACAGACUCCUACGGGGGGCCGCAGUGGGGAAUAUUGGACAAUGGGCGAAAGCCUGAUCCAGCCAUGCCGCGUGUGUGAAGAAGGUCUUCGGAUUGUAAAGCGCUUUAAGUUGGGAGGAAGGGCAGUAAGUUAAUACCUUGCUGUUUUGACGGUACCAACAGAAUAAGCACCGGCUAACUUCGUG
This 484-nucleotide ribosomal RNA is filed under the name uncultured bacterium. Its description in RNAcentral is "partial 16S ribosomal RNA". It matches the Rfam family "Bacterial small subunit ribosomal RNA", at positions 30 to 507 of the family's 1533-position model. The record is from RNAcentral.